GAUGAACGCUGGCGGCGUGCCUAAGACAUGCAAGUCGAGUGGGUUUAGACCCACGGCGAACGGGUGAGUAAUACCUAGGAACUUUCUUUAAGUUGAGGAUAUCCCGCCGAAAGGCGGUGCAAUACUCAAUGUGAUCGCAAGAUUAAAGUCGCAAGACGCUUAAAAUGAGGCCUGGGCACCAUCAGCUAGUUGGUAAGGUAACGGCUUACCAAGGCUACGACGGUUAGGGGCCCCGAGAGGGGAGACCCCCA
This 251-nucleotide ribosomal RNA is filed under the name uncultured bacterium. RNAcentral describes it as "partial 16S ribosomal RNA". It matches the Rfam family "Bacterial small subunit ribosomal RNA", at positions 28 to 310 of the family's 1533-position model. The record is from RNAcentral.